This 769-nucleotide ribosomal RNA is filed under the name uncultured bacterium. RNAcentral's name for it is "bacterial SSU rRNA". It matches the Rfam family "Bacterial small subunit ribosomal RNA", at positions 61 to 833 of the family's 1533-position model. The record is from RNAcentral.
GUCGAGGGGUAUAGUAGCAAUACUAGAGACCGGCGCACGGGUGCGUAACGCGUAUGCAAUCUACCUUUUGCAGAGGGAUAGCCCAGAGAAAUUUGGAUUAAUACCUCAUAGUAUAACGACUCGGCAUCGAGAUGUUAUUAAAGUCACAACGGCAAAAGAUGAGCAUGCGUCCCAUUAGUUAGUUGGUAAGGUAACGGCUUACCAAGACUACGAUGGGUAGGGGUCCUGAGAGGAAGAUCCCCCACACUGGUACUGAGACACGGACCAGACUCCUACGGGAGGCAGCAGUGAGGAAUAUUGGACAAUGGGCGCAAGCCUGAUCCAGCCAUGCCGCGUGCAGGAUGACGGUCCUAUGGAUUGUAAACUGCUUUUGCACAGGAAGAAACAACGCUACGUGUAGCGUCUUGACGGUACUGUGAGAAUAAGGAUCGGCUAACUCCGUGCCAGCAGCCGCGGUAAUACGGAGGAUCCAAGCGUUAUCCGGAAUCAUUGGGUUUAAAGGGUCCGUAGGCGGUCUUAUAAGUCAGUGGUGAAAUCUCCCCGCUCAACGGGGAAACGGCCAUUGAUACUGUAGGACUUGAAUUAUUAGGAAGUAACUAGAAUAUGUAGUGUAGCGGUGAAAUGCUUAGAGAUUACAUGGAAUACCAAUUGCGAAGGCAGGUUACUACUAAUGGAUUGACGCUGAUGGACGAAAGCGUGGGUAGCGAACAGGAUUAGAUACCCUGGUAGUCCACGCCGUAAACGAUGGAUACUAGCUGUUGGGCGCAAG